This 440-nucleotide ribosomal RNA is filed under the name uncultured bacterium. RNAcentral's name for it is "bacterial SSU rRNA". It matches the Rfam family "Bacterial small subunit ribosomal RNA", at positions 958 to 1398 of the family's 1533-position model. The record is from RNAcentral.
AACGCGAAGAACCUUACCUACCUUUGAAUCCACGGAAUCUUGCAGAGAUGUGAGAGUGCCUUCGGGAACCGUGAGACAGGUGCUGCAUGGCUGUCGUCAGCUCGUGUCGUGAGAUGUUGGGUUAAGUCCCGUAACGAGCGCAACCCUUAUCCUUAGUUACCAUCAAGUAAAGUUGGGGACUUUAAGGAGACUGCUGGUGAUAAACCGGAGGAAGGUGGGGAUGACGUCAAGUCCUCAUGGCCCUUACAGGUAGGGCUACACACGUGCUACAAUGGCCGGUACAGAGGGUUGCCAACCCGCGAGGGGGAGCUAAUCUCAAAAAGCCGGUCGUAGUCCGGAUUGGAGCCUGCAACUCGGCUCCAUGAAGUUGGAAUCGCUAGUAAUCGCGGAUCAGCACGCCGCGGUGAAUACGUUCCCGGGCCUUGUACACACCGUAGUAC